This 494-nucleotide ribosomal RNA is filed under the name uncultured bacterium. Its description in RNAcentral is "partial 16S ribosomal RNA". It matches the Rfam family "Bacterial small subunit ribosomal RNA", at positions 28 to 507 of the family's 1533-position model. The record is from RNAcentral.
GACGAACGCUGGCGGCGUGCCUAAUACAUGCAAGUCGAACGCACAAGGAGGAGCUUGCUUCUCUGGAUGAGUUGCGCACGGGUGAGUAACGCGUAGGUAACCUGCCCGGUAGCGGGGGAUAACUAUUGGAAACGAUAGCUAAUACCGCAUAAUAGAUGAUGUUGCAUGACAUUUGCUAAAAAGAUGCAAUUGUAUCACUACCAGAUGGACCUCCGUGGAAUUAGCUAGUUGUUGGGGUAACGGCCCACUAAGGCGACGAUACAUAGCCGACCGGGGAGGGGGACCGGCACACUGGGACUUGGGCACCGCCCAGGACUCUUCGGGGAGGCACAGGAGGGAAUCUUCGGGCAAUGGCGGAAGGCUGGACGAAGCACGGCGCGGUAGUGGAGGAAGGUCUCGGGUCGUAAAACUCUGUUGUUAGGGAAGGAAGAAAGGGGGAGGGAAAAGUUCACGCUGUGACGGUACCUUAUCAGAAAGCGACGGCUAACUACGUG